CCUACGGGUGGCAGCAGUGAGGAAUAUUGGUCAAUGGACGAGAGUCUGAACCAGCCAAGUAGCGUGAAGGAUGACUGCCCUAUGGGUUGUAAACUUCUUUUAUAUGGGAAUAAAACGUUCCACGUGUGGGAUUUUGUAUGUACCAUAUGAAUAAGGAUCGGCUAACUCCGUGCCAGCAGCUGCGGUAAUACGGAGGAUCCGAGCGUUAUCCGGAUUUAUUGGGUUUAAAGGGAGCGUAGGUGGAUUGUUAAGUCAGUUGUGAAAGUUUGCGGCUCAACCGUAAAAUUGCAGUUGAAACUGGCAGUCUUGAGUACAGUAGAGGUGGGCGGAAUUCGUGGUGUAGCGGUGAAAUGCUUAGAUAUCACGAAGAACUCCGAUUGCGAAGGCAGUUCACUGGACUGCAACUGACACUGAGGCUCGAAAGUGCGGGUAUCAAACAGGAUUAGAUACCCUUGUAGUC
This 460-nucleotide ribosomal RNA is filed under the name uncultured bacterium. Its description in RNAcentral is "partial 16S ribosomal RNA". It matches the Rfam family "Bacterial small subunit ribosomal RNA", at positions 338 to 795 of the family's 1533-position model. The record is from RNAcentral.